This 467-nucleotide ribosomal RNA is filed under the name uncultured bacterium. RNAcentral's name for it is "partial 16S ribosomal RNA". It matches the Rfam family "Bacterial small subunit ribosomal RNA", at positions 28 to 506 of the family's 1533-position model. The record is from RNAcentral.
GACGAACGCUGGCGGCGUGCUUAACACAUGCAAGUCGAACGGAAAGGCCCUGCUUUUGUGGGGUGCUCGAGUGGCGAACGGGUGAGUAACACGUGAGUAACCUGCCCUUGACUUUGGGAUAACUUCAGGAAACUGGGGCUAAUACCGGAUAGGAGCUCCUGCUGCAUGGUGGGGGUUGGAAAGUUUCGGCGGUUGGGGAUGGACUCGCGGCUUAUCAGCUUGUUGGUGGGGUAGUGGCUUACCAAGGCUUUGACGGGUAGCCGGCCUGAGAGGGUGACCGGCCACAUUGGGACUGAGAUACGGCCCAGACUCCUACGGGAGGCAGCAGUGGGGAAUAUUGCACAAUGGGCGGAAGCCUGAUACAGCAACGCCGCGUGCGGGAUGACGGCCUUCGGGUUGUAAACCGCUUUCGCCUGUGACGAAGCGUGAGGGACGGUAAUGGGUAAAGAAGCACCGGCUAACUACGU